Cololabis saira (Pacific saury) is the source of this 129-nucleotide small nucleolar RNA. RefSeq annotates it as small nucleolar RNA SNORA55. NCBI's taxonomy places the organism in Eukaryota, Metazoa, Chordata, Actinopteri, Beloniformes, Belonidae. The record is from RefSeq and is a predicted model, not a curated record. The transcript has a single exon.
GCACCUCGAUACAACCCCCGUUGAUUCUGACUGUUUGACGUGGGUUUCUCGGGUGCUACAGAAAGUCACUGUAUAUCCAGAUGGACCUCCUCUUCCCGUGGAGUCUGUCUCUACAACUUUGAUACAAAA